This 5482-nucleotide long non-coding RNA is filed under the name Sus scrofa (pig). RNAcentral describes it as "lncRNA (ENSSSCG00000063371.1)". The record is from RNAcentral. Lineage: Eukaryota; Metazoa; Chordata; Mammalia; Artiodactyla; Suidae.
UUCUCACAUGUCUGUUCCGUAGCCCUAACUUUAUAUUUGUACUUUUAUAUUUUUUUCUUAAAGAGACUGUCCACCUUCAGCUGUACAGGUUCAGAUCUGCUAUAGUGACUAGCAGCCUGGUUUGCCUGGGACUGAGGGGACUUCCAGGGAUAUGGGACUUUCAAUGCUAAACCCAGUAAGUUUCAAGGUAAACUGGGAUGAUUUGGUCACCUUAAAUGGUUCCCCUGUCCCCACAGUAUCUGCGAACAUAGGAAAAUGGCAGUUCUUAUGGAGGUUCUCACCUUGGACCCUGAUUUGAAUCUCGUGGUACUGAGGGUCUGGCAGCUCCCUGGAAGGCUCCUUUUCUCAUAGCUGGGAAGGAAGUUUCCACCUGCCAUGAGAUGUAGGGCUUGGUCUUCUCCCAAAGACCCUGGGCAGCCUUUGAUACACCUGUCACCUUGUCCUCCACAUGCCCAUCACUGUUGCAGGGUGACCAGCUCCCUCUCCCCUGGACCUCCUUGCCAAGGAACAUGCUGUGAAAUAUCAGAUCACAUCUUCUCUAGGUCAGGUUCUGACAGCUCUUCCUCAGGCAGACUUACAACAGCUCUUUCUGAGGCAGAUGUACAACAGAUGGUCCAGUGGUUAGGAAGUGGGAAUUUGAGUGGCAGCUGCCAGCCUGGGCAGGUGUAUUCUAGCCCCAUCUGCCAAUAUGCCAACCUAGGCUCUUAUGACCUCUUUGCUCAACCCUGAUCUACUUGAGUGUGCUAACCCACAGUGCCUUGCCCAUGUACACACACACAUGCACAUUCACACAGCUUCCCAAAGACACAUCUGAGUUCUAGUCCCAUUUGCAGAUCCAUCGUGCACAAUUAUAUACCAAUGAAUGGCUUAUGUGUCCUCACGUAAACAUGCAUGCCGAGGUCAUAUAUGCACACCUGCACCAGGAGAGGUUGGGCACAGAACUCUCUGAGUUCCUUCUGGUGCUGAGGCUGUGCUGAGCAGCAGGUGCCCACUUUCAGGCUCAUCUCCCUAAUGAUGCUGAUCUAGGAGGCGGACAGGGAAGGUCUCCAGCACCCUGCUUCUGCCCCACAUGUCUGGGAUGAGACGGUCUGGCACACUGAUGUCUGCCCUGGUACUCAGCAUCCCAAGCUGCUCUGUGCAGUUGCCAAGUCCAAUAAAAUAACUUCUUAUGACAGGGAAGCUGUGAUCCAGGAUAGGAUCUGGUACUGCACAUGAAGGCAUAGGUUUGGGGGAUGUACCCUUUCUGGACAGGACUGUGAGGCUCCACCUAUCCCAGCCCAGUUGAGGUCCUAAAGUCUGGGCUAAGUGUACCCACCUAGCUGGAAUUUGGGAGUCCCUCCCCACAGUGAUGGGCUGUGGGGUUAGUAGCUCAACUGUGGGGCUGGGGAGUCCUAGACACUAUCACCUCUGAAAUAUGGCCAUCCCUAUCCCCUGGCUGUGUCCAGGCCAGGUAUAGGGUGGCUGCCUCAGAUUUCUCUGACAUGGAGAUGGGAUUCCUCCUCUUAUCUGUCUAAGGCCCUUCCUGUUCCCCUGAGGGACUCUGUAGAAGCCUGGGGAUGCCACUUAUUCCCCCAGUCCCCAUAUACCUGGGAUUAGUACCCAUUGUCUGGGAUUUCUGUGUUGUAAUGCUGGCUCUUGGUCACUGUGGCAUUCACACAGGUGGGCAAAAGCUCCAGCCCUGCCAUUGCCUCUUUUUACCCCAUAGUAGUCUCCUUUGCUAUUUCAGCCUGGCCCAUGGCUCCGCCUGGGUAGGGGACACACCAAAUAAUAUCUUCUCCAGAAAGUUUUUUUCUUCUGGCAUGUUUCUGCACCAAACAGAAGUGCUCCCUAUUGGGACCUUGACAGGGCCCUUAGGAGAGCUUAGUGCUGUAAUCUCUCUGCUUUGGUGUCUCCCACAAAAAUGUCAUGAACCAUUUAGGGGAGAGACCAUGUUUCGUGAAUAGGUUGCUUCAGUAUCCUUAUCAGACCUGUCCCACAGUGGGUCCUAAUGAACAGUUGUUGAUUGGCUGAAUGACUGAGUGAAUGAAUUAAGAUUGUGUCCUAAGUCCUAGUCAACGACUGACCUUCUGCAGGCCAUUGACAUGCUCCCUCAUCCUCCAUCCAUCCAUGAACCUAUAGACUGGAAUAGCCAAGGGGUAUACACUGAAAUGCCUGCUGAGCCAGCCAGGAUGUGGAACUGUGUCAGAUGGCUGAGGGAUAUGCAAUAGGGAGUGGUGCGACUGCUACACACAUAUCCAUAGCGUAUUUAAACAUUGAAUUGAGCAAGCAAAAUGGUUGUAUUUCAGUGUGGAAAAGGAUCUCUUCAGUUCUGCUAUCUUGUAAUUUGACGCUUCCCACCCUCUUGUUUGUACUUUGCAAGGCCUGAGGGCAGGGCAGUGUGAUAGAUUAAACAGCAGAUAAGCGAAAGACCUCUUCCAGAGAUGAAGCUGUUGAUAACAAGCCUGCCAGCUGCCUCUGGAGCUGGCCACAUGUGACCAGGCUGCUUGUAAACAGGCAAGGUCCAGCCACCACUUGGGAGACCAGACUAGGUAGCUGGACACACCCAUAUCCUAGAAGUUUUAUGAGGCUUCCACAGCAGGGCCAUUGUCUGCAGAGUCAGUUGGGGGAGUCACGUGUGGGGUCCCGCAUGAACAUUAACCAGCAGGGACAUGACCACAGCAGGGCCCCAGAAACUGGUUUACCCUGGACAGUUUGCCCAGAGAUAAGCUUGGCAAUGAAUCAGCAGAAUGAGUGGGCACACAGGGCUGUAAAUUGUGUGUGGUGCCCAGUGGAGGUUCUGUGAUCGCUGGGGAUGAAACUGGUCCUGGAGGCCCUUGUCUUGAACAGGAGUGGAGAGGGGAGGAGGCCUGGAUCUAUUUAGUUCGGUGGAAGCAGAUCCAUGAUGACUCUUUGGCUUCUAUUUCAGAGCAAGCCUUUUCUUAUUUCCUCAUUUCCCCUCCCUAACAGCCCUCUGUGAUAGGCGUGGUGGCCUCAUUUUCCAGAUGGGAAACUGAGGCUCUGAGAGGUCAUCUUGUUACAGCAGCUGCCUGCAGUCCCGUGGCUGCAGUGUGUCAGCUCUAGCAGCAGCCCUGUGGCUGCAGUGUAUCAACUCCAGCGUCUCUUUUACCUGGCGAGAAACCAAGUGAGCACUUGGAGAGUUGAAGAACUCAGGUUUAUUACGCCAGCAGGCUCAGAGGAGAUCACUCUCCAGAGUCUGAGCCCUGAGGAAGGGUUUCACAAGGCUUUUAUAGGCUAGCCCUUCUGGGUCCAUGCUUGGCUGGUUGGAUGGGAGUGAGAACAGGCAGGGUUGUAAUUGUGGAAGCAACAAACGUUACAGAAGCAUAUAUGUGGGGGAGGGGUGGUUGGGGCAGUUGGCUGGACUUUGCUUAGUCAUCAUGGCCGGGGUCUCUAUUUCCUACCUUUUUAUUGGGACAUUUUCUCCUACCAUCUGACCUCCCUGAUGUCACACAGUGGGCAUGCGACAGAGCCAUCGUUUGAGCCCAAGUCUGUUUGGAAAGCCUUGCACUGUCAGCUGCCCCAGGGUUCCCAGCCAGUCAGGCAGCAGGGGCCCCUUUAGUUGCCAUGGAGACUGGAUGCUUUCUCUAGUGACGCUAUUGGAACUUGCCAAUAUGUUUAGAUUCUUCAAGGAAUAAAUUAAGGCAACAGAAUAUUCCACUUUUAUAACACAGGGUCACUUCCAGGUGUUUGGGUUUUCUCGUAACCUCUUAGGGUCCCCAACAGCCUUGGAAUAGCCUUGUUCAUAAGACUCUCCCUGCCCAGCUCAUUCCAUCUCCUCCUGAUGGCCCCCCUGCAUUCGCUCCUGCUCACACAAAGCUCUGGCUUUCCAUUGUCCUCAGGAUAAAUUCUAAAUAUCUGGUAACAUUUAUCUCUGGGCUCUCUCCGUCCCAGACUGAAACUCCUCCACUUCCCCUUUGUCCCCAAAUCUUUAUUUAUUUAUUUAUUUAUUUUGUAUUUGUUGGCUGAAUUUGGAGUUCUUGGGCCUGGGAUCAGAUCUGAGCCCCUGUCAAGACCUAAGCUGCAGCUGCAGCAAUGCAGGAUCCUUAACCUACUGUGCCAGGCCAGGGAUUGAACUUGAGUCCCAGUGCUCCCAAGACGCCACCAAUCCCAUUGCACCACAGCAGGAGCUCCUGUCCCCCAAUCUUGCUGCGCAGUUACGAGAUUCUUCUCAAAUAUUCAACUCUUCACCCCUGUUUCACCACAACACACACACACACAAACACAUACACACACCCCUCCCUCUCCAGCUGGAACUCCUCCAUUAACUCAGUGCAAGCAUCAGCUUCUCAUUUUUUCACUCCUGAUCUCAUGCCCAGCCCUCUGUUCUUACCUGACAACUUUUCAGGCAAUGAUGACCUCUCAGCCUGCAAGGACUGUAUUUGCUCAUCUCUGAGCCUCAGAACUAGCACCAUCUGAUACUACCUACCCUGGGAAUGAGUGAGGGAGUAAGAGGGUGAACCCAUGGGUGAAGUUUCUGGAAGGAAGGGAAAGGUCUGUCCUACAACAAGGUGAAGAUUUCAGGUUUGCUCUGGGACCACUGUCCCCAUUGCCCGAUGCCAGAGAACUGCUACACCUGGCGGGCCUGGCAUUCUCAGACUUGGCUGUAGGAUGAUGUGGGGAGGGGCUUCUCACCUUGCCAGGAGAAUCAGAUUAGAAGGAAAAUUUACUGAAGGAUAAGCCUCUUAGACCUGGGCCAUCUGUUCCCUCUGAGCUGCCUCUCUGCAGUUCUGUGCUCACUUGGGCAUAAACACCCCCCAGGGUGGGGGUAGGGAAGGCUGGGGCUUCCCUGAACUAAGUUCCUCAAUGUGCCAGGCCGCUUGUGGGCACUUGCUAUGCGCCCACGUGUCAGAGCCUCAUGCCAGCUUUUUUUUUUAAUUUUUAAAAAUUAAAAAACAAUUUUUUUUAGAGCUGCACCUGUGGCAUACAUAAGUUCCCAGGCUAGGGGUCAGAUCAGCUGUAGCUGCUGGCCUACACCACAGCCACAGCAAAACCAGAUCUGAGUUGCAUCUGUAACCUACACUGCAGCUCAUGGCAAUGCGGGAUCCUUAACCCAAUGAUUGAGGCCAGGAAUUGAACUCAAGUCCUCAUGGAUACUAGUUGGUUUCAUUACCACUGAGCCACAAUGGGAACUCUCCAUGUCAGCCUUUCAAAUAUGUCAUUAUUCCUCAUUCCCCACUUAUCAUGUUUAGAUUGUGCUGUGAUGAAGGAAAGGAUUGGCCUGCAGGAGAGGCCUCAGGGCACAGGUUUCCUCUAGCAGAAAGCUGUGGCUCUGGAGUUCCUAUUGGGGAUCAGUGGUAAUGAACCUGACUAGUACCCAUGAAGUUGUGGGUUUGAUCUCUGGCCCCGUUCAGUGGAUUAGGGAUCCAACAUUGCCGUGAGCCUUGGUGUAGGUACCGACAUGGCUUGGAUCUGGCAUUGUUGUGCUGUGGUGUAGGCUGGCAGCUGAUUCUACCCCUAUCCUGGGAACUUUCAUAUGCCUUGGGUG